Molecule: ribosomal RNA, 440 nt
Filed under: uncultured bacterium
Lineage: Bacteria
Description: partial 16S ribosomal RNA
Rfam family: Bacterial small subunit ribosomal RNA
Source: RNAcentral
CCUACGGGAUGCAGCAGUGGGGAAUAUUGCACAAUGGAGGAAACCCUGAUGCAGCAACGCCGCGUGCGUGAUGAAGUCUUUCUGUGUGUAAAGCUCUAUCAGCAGGGAAGAGAAUUACGUUACCUGACUAAUAUUCCCCGGCUCACUACGUUCCAACCGCCGCGGUACUACGGAGGGGGCAAGCGUUAUCCGGAUUUACUGGGUGUAAAGGGAGCGUAGUCGGCUGUACAAGUCUGAAGUGAAAGCCCGUGGCUCAACCGUGGAACUGCUUUGGAAACUGUAAAGCUGGAGUACGGGAGAGGCAGGCGGAAUUCGUGGUGUAGCGGUGAAAUGCGUAGAUAUUAGGAGGAACACCAGUGGCGAAGGCGGCCUGCUGGAGAGAAACUGACGUUGAGGCUCGAAAGCGUGGGGAGCAAACAGGAUUAGAUACCCUUGUAGUC